Long non-coding RNA from Acanthaster planci (crown-of-thorns starfish), 1884 nucleotides. RefSeq lists it as uncharacterized. The record is from RefSeq and is a predicted model, not a curated record. NCBI's taxonomy places the organism in Eukaryota, Metazoa, Echinodermata, Asteroidea, Valvatida, Acanthasteridae.
ACAGACAACUUCUGCUUUGGUGUGGUAAACACCCUUAUUAAAGCAAGGACAGAAGUGAUAAUAAUUUAGCCAGGUGCCAGUCUACCUCGGUUAAAGCCUUCGCGAAGUCUUGGAAGGGGAACUCAAUUUUUGUCUUCAGACCUAGAUGAUUUUUGUACGGCAGCUGAAAGAAAAGACUUGGCAAGUCGGUGUUUUCCAAGUGGCACCCUCGUAACCAGCCACUGAGGACAGCAUGACUACAUACAGUCCUUUCUUCGAGGAUUUGAACUCUGUUGCGCCGACUCAAGUGGCUGGGGUUGUUGGCUGUUAUUCCUCAGAAUAACAACACCCUUACCAGACACGAUGUGACACCAUAGACCAAGGACCCAAAGAUGGCGAGUCGAGGAGAUGUGUGAGAGAAACGUGACGUUAGUUCAAACAGUCUAUUAAAUUUCGUUCAGGUUUGGGGCAGGUGAUUCAUGAGCCUUACACUGUUAUCCUGGUGCGGCGAGGGGCGGACGAAAGUGUGAAUGUCACACACACAAGCGUGGGGAACCUCUCCCUGACACGAUGUUGCGCUCUCGUCUGAAGCACAAGACCUCAAACAGCAUUAAGGUCCUGUUAUACUACAUUGCAGGUUAUCACAAUUAUAAUCCAAAAAUAAAGUGUGACUGAAGUUGGAAAAAGCUGCAUGUCUAUACCCCGUCGCAUGACCCGUUCCCGACGCUUGAUCAGCUGAAGAAAUUUGUAUUCAAUACCCAAUGGGAUACAUCGUGGAAAACUAAGUCAAAGGUGUUGGUUGGUCUAUUUGCCAUUUAUUUCUGGCUCAUUCUCGGUUUUAAUUUGCUAAAAAAAGUCAUCUAAUCUUCUGAAUCAGUUGACACUUUUUGUAUUUGUCUUAUCAACGAAAAUCUGAUGAGAAAGGGGAAGCUUUAUUUCAGCUCCUCUACCUUGAGAUAGUUAUUUCCAAGAUAAGCGAUUAUUCUGCCGGGGAUAUUAAUGGAUUUCACACCGAUUCCUCUGAAAGAUUACGGUCACGUUUAAAACACUAAUACUUGGCCCUCUCAAUACAAGUGGCCAAACAUUUGAAUUCUUUUUCUGUUCUUUCAACUUCAAACAUGCAUUGUGUCCAAACGUCACACAACAUACGAAGAUCCCAAUAAGGUCGUAUAUUAUGUGAUAUGAAUCUUACUAACGAGUGUGCUGGACUCAUGAACUCUCGUGUAAGACAGAGCAUAAAAUGGGACUGCAACAGAACUUUGCCACGCCUGAGUGAAAGAUGGGGUGUUACAUACUCCAUCAUAUUCUUUUCGAAGUAUAAUAAAUGCAUUUCAUGCUUCAAAGCAUCUUCAUUUCAGGUAAUUACCCUUCUCGUGCAGGUACAGCCUCAUAUAAAGCUAUCAAUUCAAUCUUACCGUAAUCUGCAUGUGAACCACGAAAUAUUCAGAGACGGGUCAGCAAAACUCCCUUGGGCGGUGUUGGGUUAAUUAAUGAAUAAAUUUGAAUUGCGAUGAAGAACUCAAUUACAACAUUUGCAGCACAAACAGACGGACGCGAGCAUCGUUUCAAACAAAUUAUACUCGGUGUUGGUGCACAGAGAUUUCGCAGCAGUUGGCAAGGGCCAAGGAGUGUUUAACUUUUGUAGAAAUUGUGCUCGAGGGUUACCUUUUUGGAUCCCUCUCACCAACCGUGUAUAACAUUUAAGCACAAUCUUGCUUUCACUUUUUAAUGGUGUUUAGAAACUAUUGGAAGUAUUUGAACAUGUUUACAAACUGUUGUCUAUACGAUUUGCUUCAUAUAUUCCCUAGUAUGUCUACUCUGUCCUUAUGGUUAGCAUUUUUAACUUUAUUAACAAGAGAAAACAGCUUCUGAAGCCAACACUGUUAAUUUGGAAAUCAAAACUUG